GUCUACAGCCAUGCCACCCUGAACAAGCCCAAUCCUGUCUGAUCUUAGAAGCUAAGCAGGGUUGGGCCUGCUUAGUACUUGGAUGGGAGACCACCUAGGAACACCAGGUGCUGUAGGCG
RNAcentral lists this ribosomal RNA (119 nucleotides) under Pteropus alecto (black flying fox). RNAcentral also lists the same sequence under 1 other name. Lineage: Eukaryota; Metazoa; Chordata; Mammalia; Chiroptera; Pteropodidae. The record is from RNAcentral.